Long non-coding RNA from Nematostella vectensis (starlet sea anemone), 634 nucleotides. RefSeq lists it as uncharacterized. The transcript has 2 exons. NCBI's taxonomy places the organism in Eukaryota, Metazoa, Cnidaria, Anthozoa, Actiniaria, Edwardsiidae. The record is from RefSeq and is a predicted model, not a curated record.
AACCAAAUGGCCAGAAGGUCAAAUGAGCAUGAACAGCUACUAGCGGCACGUUUAUAAGGGACACCACAAAGUCAGCGAUGGCCAGGUGUAAUUGCUAAAAUGACUUUCACAAAGAAAAACAGCCAAACAAGCUCACCGGCUCGUUAAAGUUUCUUCUGUCCUGAACAUCCCACCACCCCUCAAACUGGCGCCGCUGUGACGAGACAUGAGGCAGGUUGGGGUAGUCUCCGAGUUCAAAGCCGUCUUGGGGCCAGCUUGUGUCCUUGGCGGUCCUAUUAUCCAUCGUUGGAGAUGCUAGAGGGGGGUUGCUUUGUGCAUUGUGGUAUGCUGCCACUGCAGUGUCAAAUCACAUAAGUAAGGGUUUUGGAAUACAUUGUCUCAUGUCUACAAACAUGGUUAGCAGAUCGAAGCGUGAGGGUGCAGCUGACAAAACCAGUGAUCAAGUUGUUAUUUUUCAAUAAAAGAACUACAUUCUACAAACAUGAUGGGGCAAAUACUGUGUGCCUUACACUAAAAACUUUGUACAAACUAAUUCGUUCUUCGACAAAGGCGAGAAGAAUUACAAUUUCAGUACCCUUUCUUGCUAUAACGAGUCGAUCGACUUCAUCAAAUAAAAGCUAUAGUCAUCCUUCUA